Molecule: ribosomal RNA, 550 nt
Filed under: Staphylococcus aureus
Lineage: Bacteria; Bacillati; Bacillota; Bacilli; Caryophanales; Staphylococcaceae
Description: partial 23S ribosomal RNA
Rfam family: Bacterial large subunit ribosomal RNA
Source: RNAcentral
AACCAGUACCGUGAGGGAAAGGUGAAAAGCACCCCGGAAGGGGAGUGAAAUAGAACCUGAAACCGUGUGCUUACAAGUAGUCAGAGCCCGUUAAUGGGUGAUGGCGUGCCUUUUGUAGAAUGAACCGGCGAGUUACGAUUUGAUGCAAGGUUAAGCAGUAAAUGUGGAGCCGUAGCGAAAGCGAGUCUGAAUAGGGCGUUUAGUAUUUGGUCGUAGACCCGAAACCAGGUGAUCUACCCUUGGUCAGGUUGAAGUUCAGGUAACACUGAAUGGAGGACCGAACCGACUUACGUUGAAAAGUGAGCGGAUGAACUGAGGGUAGCGGAGAAAUUCCAAUCGAACCUGGAGAUAGCUGGUUCUCUCCGAAAUAGCUUUAGGGCUAGCCUCAAGUGAUGAUUAUUGGAGGUAGAGCACUGUUUGGACGAGGGGCCCCUCUCGGGUUACCGAAUUCAGACAAACUCCGAAUGCCAAUUAAUUUAACUUGGGAGUCAGAACAUGGGUGAUAAGGUCCGUGUUCGAAAGGGAAACAGCCCAGACCACCAGCUAAGGU